GGCUCGGUGGCGGAAUGCGUCGACGCGAAAACUGUGCAAGGUUUUUUAUCCAGGUUCAAAUCCUGGCCGAGCCUCCA
This 77-nucleotide transfer RNA is filed under the name Hyphomicrobiales bacterium. Its description in RNAcentral is "Rhizobiales bacterium (bioreactor metagenome) tRNA-Ala". It matches the Rfam family "tRNA". Rfam says of the family: Transfer RNA (tRNA) molecules are approximately 80 nucleotides in length. Their secondary structure includes four short double-helical elements and three loops (D, anti-codon, and T loops). RNAcentral also lists the same sequence under 1 other name. Lineage: Bacteria; Pseudomonadati; Pseudomonadota; Alphaproteobacteria; Hyphomicrobiales. The record is from RNAcentral.